Molecule: ribosomal RNA, 484 nt
Filed under: uncultured bacterium
Lineage: Bacteria
Description: partial 16S ribosomal RNA
Rfam family: Bacterial small subunit ribosomal RNA
Source: RNAcentral
AUUGAACGCUGGCGGCAGGCCUAACACAUGCGAGUCGAGCGGAUGAAGGGAACUUGCUCCUGGAUUCAGCGGCGGACGGGUGAGUAAUGCCUAGGAAUCUGCCUGGUAGUGGGGGAUAACGUCCGGAAACGGGCGCUAAUACCGCAUACGUCCUGAGGGAGAAAGUGGGGGAUCUUCGGACCUCACGCUAUCAGAUGAGCCUAGGUCGGAUUAGCUAGUUGGUGGGGUAAAGGCCUACCAAGGCGACGAUCCGUAACUGGUCUGAGAGGAUGGUCAGUCACACUGGAACUGAGACACGGUCCAGACUCCUACGGGAGGCAGCAGUGGGGAAUAUUGGACAAUGGGCGAAAGCCUGAUCCAGCCAUGCCGCGUGUGUGAAGAAGGUCUUCGGAUUGUAAAGCACUUUAAGUUGGGAGGAAGGGCAGUAAGUUAAUACCUUGCUGUUUUGACGUUACCAACAGAAUAAGCACCGGCUAACUUCGUG